This 582-nucleotide ribosomal RNA is filed under the name uncultured Gammaproteobacteria bacterium. RNAcentral's name for it is "bacterial SSU rRNA". It matches the Rfam family "Bacterial small subunit ribosomal RNA", at positions 346 to 920 of the family's 1533-position model. The record is from RNAcentral. Lineage: Bacteria; Pseudomonadati; Pseudomonadota; Gammaproteobacteria.
AGGCAGCAGUGGGGAAUAUUGGACAAUGGGCGCAAGCCUGAUCUAGCCAUGCCGCGUGUGUGAAGAAGCCUUUUGGUUGUAAAGCACUUUAAGCGAGGAGGAGGGUAACCUAGCUAAUAUCUAGGAUUAUCGGACGUUACUCGCAGAAUAAGCACCGGCUAACUCUGUGCCAGCAGCCGCGGUAAUACAGAGGGUGCGAGCGUUAAUCGGAAUUACUGGGCGUAAAGCGCGCGUAGGCGGUUUGUUAAGUCGGAUGUGAAAUCCCCGGGCUCAACCUGGGAACUGCAUUCGAUACUGGCAAGCUAGAGUAUGGGAGAGGAUGGUAGAAUUCCAGGUGUAGCGGUGAAAUGCGUAGAGAUCUGGAGGAAUACCGAUGGCGAAGGCAGCCAUCUGGCCUAAUACUGACGCUGAGGUGCGAAAGCAUGGGGAGCAAACAGGAUUAGAUACCCUGGUAGUCCAUGCCGUAAACGAUGUCAACUAGCCGUUGGGGACCUUGAGUCUUUAGUGGCGCAGCUAACGCGAUAAGUUGACCGCCUGGGGAGUACGGCCGCAAGGUUAAAACUCAAAUGAAUUGACGGGGGC